Molecule: non-coding RNA, 75 nt
Organism: Haemonchus contortus (barber pole worm)
Lineage: Eukaryota; Metazoa; Nematoda; Chromadorea; Rhabditida; Trichostrongylidae
Source: Rfam
GGCCCAAAUUUGAAGUAAAGUAGAUUAGUAGGGUUGUCCCACCCUACUGAAGUACUCUACUUCAGGUUUGUGCCC